This 19-nucleotide microRNA is filed under the name Xenopus laevis (African clawed frog). Its description in RNAcentral is "xla-miR-5152". The record is from RNAcentral. Lineage: Eukaryota; Metazoa; Chordata; Amphibia; Anura; Pipidae.
CUGUGAUUUUGACUGCAGA